GAUGAACGCUGGCGGCGUGCCUAAUACAUGCAAGUCGAGCGAACAGACGAGGAGCUUGCUCCUCUGACGUUAGCGGCGGACGGGUGAGUAACACGUGUAUAACCUACCUAUAAGAGUGGGAUAACUUCGGGAAACCGGAGCUAAUACCGGAGAAUAUAUUGAACCGCAUGGUUCAAUAGUGAAAGACGGCGUUGCUGUCACUUAUAGAGGGAUCCGCGCCGCAUUAGCUAGUUGUGAAGGUAACGGCCUACCAAGGCAACGAUGCGUAGACGACCUGAGAGGGUGGUCGCCGACCCGAGAGCUGAACCACGGACAUGAGUACUGCGAGACGGAGCAGUCGCCAAUCGGACGCAGUAGGCGAGAGUAUUGCGGAGCGGGGCCGAGUCAGAGAUGACAGUGCCCCGAGCGUGAUGAUCGGUUACUAGGGAAGAACCAAUGUGUACGUAACUGUGCACGUCUUGACGGUACUUAGUCAGAAAGCCACGGCUAACUACGUG
This 497-nucleotide ribosomal RNA is filed under the name uncultured bacterium. RNAcentral's name for it is "partial 16S ribosomal RNA". It matches the Rfam family "Bacterial small subunit ribosomal RNA", at positions 28 to 507 of the family's 1533-position model. The record is from RNAcentral.